RNAcentral lists this ribosomal RNA (478 nucleotides) under uncultured bacterium. RNAcentral describes it as "partial 16S ribosomal RNA". It matches the Rfam family "Bacterial small subunit ribosomal RNA", at positions 28 to 523 of the family's 1533-position model. The record is from RNAcentral.
GACGAACGCUGGCGGCGUGCUUAACACAUGCAAGUCGAACGGUAAGGCCCUUCGGGGUACACGAGUGGCGAACGGGUGAGUAACACGUGGGUGAUCUGCCCUGCACUUCGGGAUAAGCCUGGGAAACUGGGUCUAAUACCGGAGAGGACCACUGCCUGCAUGGGUGGUGGUGGAAAGCUGUUGCGGUGUGGGAUGGGCCCGCGGCCUAUCAGCUUGUUGGUGGGGUGAUGGCCUACCAAGGCGACGAAGGGUAGCCGGCCUGAGAGGGUGACCGGCCACACUGGGACUGAGAUACGGCCCAGACUCCUACGGGAGGCAGCAGUGGGGAAUAUUGCACAAUGGGCGCAAGCCUGAUGCAGCGACGCCGCGUGAGGGAUGACGGCCUUCGGGUUGUAAACCUCUUUCAGCACCGACGAAGCGCAAGUGACGGUAGGUGCAGAAGAAGGACCGGCCAACUACGUGCCAGCCGCCGCAGUAA